UUCAUCCCUUAUAAAUACCCCUAUAUCCUCACUGUAUCACCUCACACAUAACACCUUCGAUAAUCUACAGGACUGAUCGAAUUUUAAUUCUUCAUUCUAGCUUUUGUAUACUUUUUGUUUGAAUUGCAUAAUUUUGCUGAAGGACUCUGUUGAUCGAAAGUCAUUCAGAUAUAGGAGUAGGACAAUUUAUUGUCCAAAAGCAAGCAAGAGAGAAUUUGCAGAUAUUUGCUUGGAGAAAAAUUUGAAGGUGAAUAUCUUUUUUAUGAGACUAGAUGCACAUCUCUUUUCCUUCUUGUUCGGUAAAAUGUUACUCCACUCAUCACACUGUUCUUUUUUAUUUCUCUCUGUUUUAAAUGCCCUUCCAGCAAUUCUCCUAGUGUCACAAAGGUAACAAGAAACUCUCUAUGAGGGGGUACCUCCUCUUUUUUGAUUUUUCAAUUUGGAAGAGGAAAUAGCACAGGGAGCUUUUAUUUAUUAAAGAUGAGCCUUGCAUAUAAAUUGAUAUUGAUUCCCAUGUACAUCAAGAUCACUUUGUACAUCAAGAUCACUUUCAGAUCCAAUUCUUUUCAGAAACUUCACAUGAUGUUAGAACCAAUCUCGCAACUGAGACUAGAGUAUGAUAAUUUGUAAAUCAUUUACACGUGUUCUGAGUUCUAGUGGAAGUCAGGAACUUGAGGUCGUGUGCAUUUCUAAGCAAGAAAAGAAUCUGAUUGAUUGAGAUUAUUACUGCCGAUAAUUCAGUAACUGAGGAAACUCAGAUGACAUGUAAUAUACACAUUAGAAUUUUCAUAGCAUAACUUAAAUCUAGGAGAUGAAUCUGAUGAGAGUACAGAUCUGAAAUUUAUACAGUUGAAUACUUCAUUCAUUUUCUGAUAUGCGAUUCACUGAGGCAAAGUUAGUUUAUAUAUGUUUUGUUGCAGGAAGGCAAUCACAAGUUAAAGUCUGGUUCUCAGGGGUGUAACAAAGUUGAGUCGAUGCACUGUGCUGCUUGAACUUAAAACCUGAACAAAUAAUGUUUGAUUUCAUACGAGCUCUGCUCGACAGUUUAACUUGACUUGAGAUGGACUUGGUUAUUCAACUUAUCUUUAAUUUGGAUGAAUAUGAGCCAAGCUUGAGAUCGACCACUUCUGAAUUUAAAUUUGGUUGCUCUGAAUGGAAAGCCUUUUCAUGCCAAAUGAGUUGGUUAUAUGAAUCCUUUUAUGUUAUUUACUUCUUACUUAUAAAAGUCUAAUGCAUUAGUAUGCAUAAAUAAUGUAUAUUGAAC
This 1264-nucleotide long non-coding RNA is filed under the name Eucalyptus grandis. RNAcentral's name for it is "long non-coding RNA (EGRA_LNC006185)". Lineage: Eukaryota; Viridiplantae; Streptophyta; Magnoliopsida; Myrtales; Myrtaceae. The record is from RNAcentral.